CUUCAGCGAUCCCAGCCAGAGCGGCUCGCCGGUGCGGUUCCGGCCGUAGGCGGCCAGCAGCGCGUUGGCCUC
RNAcentral lists this antisense RNA (72 nucleotides) under Streptomyces pluripotens. Its description in RNAcentral is "ASpks TB sRNA". It matches the Rfam family "ASpks TB sRNA". The record is from Rfam by way of RNAcentral. RNAcentral also lists the same sequence under 1 other name. Lineage: Bacteria; Bacillati; Actinomycetota; Actinomycetes; Kitasatosporales; Streptomycetaceae.